This 429-nucleotide ribosomal RNA is filed under the name Verrucomicrobiota bacterium. RNAcentral's name for it is "Verrucomicrobia bacterium partial 16S ribosomal RNA". It matches the Rfam family "Bacterial small subunit ribosomal RNA", at positions 355 to 776 of the family's 1533-position model. The record is from RNAcentral. Lineage: Bacteria; Pseudomonadati; Verrucomicrobiota.
UAGGGAAUCUUCGGCAAUGGGGGGAACCCUGACCGAGCAACGCCGCGUGAGUGAAGAAGGUUUUCGGAUCGUAAAGCUCUGUUGUUACGGAAGAACGAGUGUGAGAAUGGAAAGUUCAUGCUGUGACGGUACUUAACCAGAAAGGGCCGGCUAACUACGUGCCUGCAGCCGCUGUACUAAGUAGGUCCCCAGCGUUGUCCGGCUUUAUUGGGCGUAAAGCGAGAGAAGGAGGUUAGAAAUGUCUGAAGUGAAGAGCAGUGGAUCAACAAAUGUGAGCGUUGGAAACUGUUAAACUUGAGUGCAGAAGGGGAGGGUGGAAUUCAAGGUGUAGCGGUGAAAUGCGUAGAUAUAUGGAAGAACACCGGUGGCGAAAGCGGCUCUCUGGUCUGAAACUGACGCUGAGGCUCGAAAGCGAGGGGAGCGAACGGG